AACGAACGCUGGCGGCAUGCCUAACACAUGCAAGUCGAACGAGACGUCCGGGCUUUGUGGCGCAGGGGUGCGUAACGCGUGGGAACCUGCCCUUAGGUACGCAAUAACUCACUGAAAGGGGUGCUAAUACAGGAUAAUGUCUUAGGACCAAAGAUUUAUUGCCUUUGGAUGGGCCCUCGUUGGAUUCGCUAGUUGGUAGGGUAAAAGCAUAGCAAGGCGUCGAUGCAUAGCUGGUCUGUGAGGAUGAUCAGCAACGCUGGAGCUAAGACACGGCCCAGACUCCGACGGAAGGGAGGAGAGGAUAAUAUUGGACACUGGGGGAAGGCCUGAUCCAGCAAUGCCGCGUGAGUGAUGAAGGCCGUAGUGUUGUAAUGCUCUUUUACCCGGGAUGAUAAUGACGGUACCGGGUGAAUAAGCUCCGGCUAACUCCGUG
This 433-nucleotide ribosomal RNA is filed under the name uncultured bacterium. Its description in RNAcentral is "partial 16S ribosomal RNA". It matches the Rfam family "Bacterial small subunit ribosomal RNA", at positions 29 to 507 of the family's 1533-position model. The record is from RNAcentral.